UGGGGAAUCUUGCGCAAUGGGCGAAAGCCUGACGCAGCAACGCCGCGUGAGUGAUGAAGGUUCUUGGAUCGUAAAGCUCUUUCGGCUGGGAAGAAACGCCCGUGGGCUAAUACCCCUCGGGUUUGACGGUACCAGCAGAAGAAGCACCGGCUAACUCUGUGCCAGCAGCCGCGGUAAUACAGAGGGUGCGAGCGUUGUUCGGAAUUAUUGGGCGUAAAGCGAGUGUAGGCGGGAUCGUAUGUCGGGUGUGAAAGCCCUCGGCUCAACCGAGGAAGUGCGCCCGAAACUGCGGUUCUUGAGUGUCGGAGAGGGUGACGGAAUUCCCGGUGUAGAGGUGAAAUUCGUAGAUAUCGGGAGGAACACCAGUGGCGAAGGCGGUCACCUGGACGAACACUGACGCUGAGACUCGAAAGCGUGGGUAGCAAACAGG
This 430-nucleotide ribosomal RNA is filed under the name Bacillota bacterium. RNAcentral describes it as "Firmicutes bacterium partial 16S ribosomal RNA". It matches the Rfam family "Bacterial small subunit ribosomal RNA", at positions 355 to 776 of the family's 1533-position model. The record is from RNAcentral. Lineage: Bacteria; Bacillati; Bacillota.